GAUGAACGCUGGCGGCGUGCCUAAUACAUGCAAGUCGAGCGAACGGACGAGAAGCUUGCUUUUCUGAUGUUAGCGGCGGACGGGUGAGUAACACGUGGAUAACCUACCUAUAAGACUGGGAUAACUUCGGGAAACCGGAGCUAAUACCGGAUAAUAUUUUGAACCGCAUGGUUCAAAAGUGAAAGACGGUCUUGCUGUCACUUAUAGAUGGAUCCGCGCUGCAUUAGCUAGUUGGUAAGGUAACGGCUUACCAAGGCAACGAUGCAUAGCCGACCUGAGAGGGUGAUCGGCCCCACUGGAACUGAGACACGGUCCAGACUCCUACGGGAGGCAGCAGUAGGGAAUCUUCCGCAAUGGGCGAAAGCCUGACGGAGCAACGCCGCGUGAGUGAUGAAGGUCUUCGGAUCGUAAAACGCUGUUAUUAGGGAAGAACAUAUGUGUAAGUAACUGUGCACAUCUUGACGGUACCUAAGCAGAAAGCCACGGCUAACUACGU
RNAcentral lists this ribosomal RNA (496 nucleotides) under uncultured bacterium. Its description in RNAcentral is "partial 16S ribosomal RNA". It matches the Rfam family "Bacterial small subunit ribosomal RNA", at positions 28 to 506 of the family's 1533-position model. The record is from RNAcentral.